GACUGGGGCUUCGAAUGCAUUGAAGCUGCCAAUUGAACUGUUGGAGUUGCUGAAUUCGAAACCAGCAGAAAAAGGAGUUUGAAACAGGGAAAUUCAGGUCCUGGUCGACGACGCACGAAUUACGGUAGAGACCGUUUUAGUUCUAUUUGCACUGAGUCGCGAGAGAUAGUUGUCGACGCAUUCCGAGGCGUGGAUUCUAGUUGUUGACACCACUACAGGUUCCAGCGCGAGCGUAGUAGCUGAGGAUCGCGACAAGAGCCCAGCAUCCUAGCUAGUGCACACCAGAGUUCUAGUAGUUUACCAUUUUGGUUUCAUGUUAUACAUUUUGAUGUACAGAGACAUGUAAAUGAAUGUAUUAAAGAGCAUGUGAAUAAUUAAAUGUCUCAGUUAUGUAAAGUUUUAGAUUACAGUGAAUUUCAUAUUUAGUUA
Molecule: long non-coding RNA, 429 nt
Organism: Ananas comosus (pineapple)
Lineage: Eukaryota; Viridiplantae; Streptophyta; Magnoliopsida; Poales; Bromeliaceae
Exons: 3
Source: RefSeq, a predicted model, not a curated record